ACACGAAGUGAGUGGCGAACGGGUGAGUAACACGUGGGUAACCUGCCCAGAAGUAGGGGAUAACACCUGGAAACAGAUGCUAAUACCGUAUAACAGAGAAAACCGCAUGGUUUUCUUUUAAAAGAUGGCUCUGCUAUCACUUCUGGAUGGACCCGCGGCGUAUUAGCUAGUUGGUGAGGUAAAGGCUCACCAAGGCAGUGAUACGUAGCCGACCUGAGAGGGUAAUCGGCCACAUUGGGACUGAGACACGGCCCAGACUCCUACGGGAGGCAGCAGUAGGGAAUCUUCCACAAUGGACGCAAGUCUGAUGGAGCAACGCCGCGUGAGUGAAGAAGGGUUUCGGCUCGUAAAGCUCUGUUGUUAAAGAAGAACGUGGGUAAGAGUAACUGUUUACCCAGUGACGGUAUUUAACCAGAAAGCCACGGCUAACUACGUGCCAGCAGCCGCGGUAAUACGUAGGUGGCAAGCGUUAUCCGGAUUUAU
This 483-nucleotide ribosomal RNA is filed under the name Pediococcus pentosaceus. RNAcentral's name for it is "bacterial SSU rRNA". It matches the Rfam family "Bacterial small subunit ribosomal RNA", at positions 84 to 554 of the family's 1533-position model. The record is from RNAcentral. Lineage: Bacteria; Bacillati; Bacillota; Bacilli; Lactobacillales; Lactobacillaceae.